GUCUCUUUGUUGUAUAUAAGUAAAGAGUCGGGCCUGCUCGGUGAAUAAUUUUUAACAGCUGCGGUAUUUUAACUGUACUAAGGUAGCAUAAUAAUUUGCCUUAUAAUUUGAGGCUAGAAUGAAUGGUUUGACGAAGGUUAAGCUGUCUCUAUCUUAUUUUCUAGAAUUUAAUUUGUAAGUGAAAAAGCUUGCAUCUUUUAAAGGGACGAGAAGACCCUAAUGAGCUUAUAAUUUUAUUAUUAUGUUGUUAAUAAUUAAUAAUGUAACAUAUAAAUUUUAAUUGGGGUGAUUAAGGAAUAAAAUUUUUUAGUAACUUCCUUGGUAAAAAUAUUGUUAAAUAAAUUAACCAAUAUUAUUGCUUAUAGUAUAGUUACCAUAGGGAUAACAGCGUAAUUUGCUUUGAGAGUUCUUAUUGAAAAGUGAGAUUGCGACCUCGAUGUUGGAUUAAAGUAACCCUAAGGUGCAGAAGCUUUAGAUGGUAAAUCUGUUCGAUUUUUAAAACUUUACA
This 508-nucleotide ribosomal RNA is filed under the name Selenoteuthis scintillans. RNAcentral describes it as "partial small subunit ribosomal RNA". It matches the Rfam family "Bacterial large subunit ribosomal RNA", at positions 1819 to 2600 of the family's 2925-position model. The record is from RNAcentral. Lineage: Eukaryota; Metazoa; Mollusca; Cephalopoda; Oegopsida; Lycoteuthidae.